CGGACGGGUUAGUAACGCGUGGGAAUAUACCCGACACUAAGGAAUAGCCUCUGGAAACGGAGAGUAAUACCUUAUACGCCCUUCGGGGGAAAGAUUUAUCGGUGACGGAUUAGCCCGCGUUAGAUUAGAUAGUUGGUGGGGUAAUGGCCUACCAAGUCUACGAUCUAUAGCUGGUUUUAGAGGAUGAUCAGCAACACUGGGACUGAGACACGGCCCAGACUCCUACGGGAGGCAGCAGUGGGGAAUCUUGGACAAUGGGCGCAAGCCUGAUCCAGCCAUGCCGCGUGAGUGAUGAAGGCCUUAGGGUCGUAAAGCUCUUUCGCCAGAGAUGAUAAUGACAGUAUCUGGUAAAGAAACCCCGGCUAACUCCGUGCCAGCAGCCGCGGUAAUACGGAGGGGGUUAGCGUUGUUCGGAAUUACUGGGCGUAAAGCGCGCGUAGGCGGGCUAGUAAGUUAGAGGUGAAAUCCCAGGGCUCAACCCUGGAACUGCCUUUAAUACUGCUAGUCUUGAGUUCGAGAGAGGUGAGUGGAAUUCCGAGUGUAGAGGUGAAAUUCGUAGAUAUUCGGAGGAACACCAGUGGCGAAGGCGGCUCACUGGCUC
Molecule: ribosomal RNA, 601 nt
Filed under: Thalassovita mediterranea
Lineage: Bacteria; Pseudomonadati; Pseudomonadota; Alphaproteobacteria; Rhodobacterales; Roseobacteraceae
Description: bacterial SSU rRNA
Rfam family: Bacterial small subunit ribosomal RNA
Source: RNAcentral